GACUCAAAAUAAAUAAAUAUGCAGAAAUCUCUCAAUUAGUUUAAAAACUUUUCAUUUAUACCUUAUAACAAUUUCAGUACCAUUUUACCCCUAACUUCCCACUAAUACUGUUGAUAUGUCUUGUACCUCAAUACCACACGUCACUCCUUCUUCUCCAUCUAAAUCUCAGUAAACCUCACUUUCUUCAACCUCUAUCACCGUCGCCACCCACGGCCUACACUCCGACAACCACCUAUGAUUUCCGUUUAUGCUCCGACAACGACAACCGCCAACGCCUGCCGCGAUCCUCAACAUCAACCGACAGCCUUCUGUUUUACUCUCAGUUAGCCUUCUCUUUCUCGAUUACGACAAAUCAAAUCGAUCGAACAGAUGUACGAGAUUUAUAGAAAUUUUGGUACUAUUAUUUACAAAUGUUCCUAGAGUUGUUGAGUGCUGGUGUUUGAUUUAAAAGGAUGAGAAGCAUAUAGAGAUGAUAUCAUUUGAACGAUAUCGUGUAGUGCGAUAAUACUAUGGCUGAAUUCAGAAAUGAUAAUGCGAAUAGAGAUGGAUAACAUAUGCGAUCGCUGAAUCAGAUGCAGGCAAGGAAGAGGGGAAAAAAUGGGGAAAUUUGUGUGAUAGUCGAAGAAGUGCAACUCUUGAUAGAUGAAUUGUUGAUUAAUUGACAGCCUACUUGGGAAGAUGGCCAAAUUCUAUAUUAGAGUGUGGUUUGUGAAAUAGCUUAGUUUGUUUUGUUUUGUCUUGUCUUUCUCUGCAAACUUUUUGUUAGUUAUAAAAAAAAUGAAUUGAUUUUAGUAGGUUUUGGAUUUUAAAUAUAUUUACUAUUUUAUUUUGUAUUUUUUAUAA
Mercurialis annua (annual mercury) is the source of this 843-nucleotide long non-coding RNA. RefSeq lists it as uncharacterized. The transcript is spliced from 2 exons. NCBI's taxonomy places the organism in Eukaryota, Viridiplantae, Streptophyta, Magnoliopsida, Malpighiales, Euphorbiaceae. The record is from RefSeq and is a predicted model, not a curated record.